AUACUUGCAAGUCGAGCGGACAGAAGGGAGCUUGCUCCGGGAUGUAGCGGCGGACGGGUGAGUAACACGUGGGUAACUGCCUGUAAGACUGGGAUAACUCCGGGAAACGGGAGCUAAUACCGGAUAGUUCCCUGAACCGCAUGGUUCAAGGAUGAAAGACGGUUUCGGCUGUCACUUACAGAUGGACCCGCGGCGCAUAGCUAGUUGGUGAGGUAACGGCUCACCAAGGCGACGAUGCGUAGCCGACUGGAGAGGGUGAUCGGCCACACUGGGACUGAGACACGGCCCAGACUCCUACGGGAGGCAGCAGUAGGGAAUCUUCCGCAAUGGACGAAAGUCUGACGGAGCAACGCCGCGUGAGUGAUGAAGGUUUCGGAUCGUAAAGCUCUGUUGUUAGGGAAGAACAAGUGCAAGAGUAACUGCUUGCACCUUGACGGUACCUAACCAGAAAGCCACGGCUAACUACGUGCCAGCAGCCGCGGUAAUACGUAGGUGGCAGCGUUGUCCGGAAUUAUUGGGCGUAAAGGGCUCGCAGGCGGUUUCUUAAGUCUGAUGUGAAAGCCCCCGGCUCAACCGGGGAGGGUCAUUGGAAACUGGGAAACUUGAGUGCAGAAGAGGAGAGUGGAAUUCCACGUGUAGCGGUGAAAUGCGUAGAGAUGUGGAGGAACACCAGUGGCGAAGGCGACUCUCUGGUCUGUAACUGACGCUGAGGAGCGAAAGCGUGGGGAGCGAACAGGAUUAGAUACCCUGGUAGUCCACGCCGUAAACGAUGAGUGCUAAGUGUUAGGGGGUUUCCGCCCCUUAGUGCUGCAGCUAACGCAUUAAGCACUCCGCCUGGGGAGUACGGUCGCAAGACUGAAACUCAAAGGAAUUGACGGGGGCCCGCACAAGCGGUGGAGCAUGUGGUUUAAUUCGAAGCAACGCGAAGAACCUUACCAGGUCUUGACAUCCUCUGACAACCCUAGAGAUAGGGCUUUCCCUUCGGGGACAGAGUGA
RNAcentral lists this ribosomal RNA (996 nucleotides) under Bacillus aerius. RNAcentral's name for it is "bacterial SSU rRNA". It matches the Rfam family "Bacterial small subunit ribosomal RNA", at positions 51 to 1034 of the family's 1533-position model. Lineage: Bacteria; Bacillati; Bacillota; Bacilli; Caryophanales; Bacillaceae. The record is from RNAcentral.